Long non-coding RNA from Triticum dicoccoides, 1666 nucleotides. RefSeq lists it as uncharacterized. The record is from RefSeq and is a predicted model, not a curated record. NCBI's taxonomy places the organism in Eukaryota, Viridiplantae, Streptophyta, Magnoliopsida, Poales, Poaceae. The transcript is spliced from 5 exons.
CUCCAUGCACUCGCGCCCAAUCCCAUCCUCUCCCGUCCCGCUCCACACCAGCUGCCACACAACCCUAGCCCCUUACCCAUCAAUCCCCACAGCCCCUCCCUCCUCCUCGCUCCUGGCCAUGGCCUCCACCCUAGGAGCCUCGCCACGGCCUCCUACUCCCCCUCCACCACCGUACAUGCACACAGACGGCGGUGCCGGAGAAGAGCAGCUCCAGUCAUGGUGGGGUGCGGCUGUGAUAGAGAGGAACGAGGUCCGCCGCCCGUCUUUGUCUCCUUGCUGCCCUUUGUUGCCGAUCCUCCUCUCUCCCUUCACCCCUAGCAGCAUAGCAGUCAGGGACAAGGGGAAGGAGCAGGUCGACCCGACUCUAUCUCUCUGCACGAGGACUAGAGGAGCAAGUGGCGAGGGAAGCCGUCACGGCCAGCGACGGCGCUGCACAGGGACGUCCGCCUCUGGUUUUCUGUCCUGUCUCCCGAUCCCCUUUCGUUUAGGUGUGUUCUUUUUCCUCUUUGCCUGAUUUGCUCACAUGUUUGGGGUUUCGUGCUGUAGGGAUAAGCUCUAGUGCGGGAGGUGUGGUAUAAUGCAUAGGUGUAUAAUCUUGGCUAUGAUCUAUGAUGGUGAUUUGGCUAUCAACUACUAAAUCCAUGAAUCAUUCGAAAAUGUUGAACUUGUUGUCCUGCUGUCUAGACAUGUUUUGAUUAUGCUUUUAAGCACUAUGCUUUGCUGAUUCAGUGCCAUUUAUGUGGUGAAGGAGAAUUUUUAUGUUAAAGCAUUUGGUUCUGAUGGAUCAUAUUAUUGGUUCUCUGUUCAACUGAAGAUGUCUUCACAUAGGACUAAGGUGAGUUGAGUUCUGGCUUGGUUGGAGAUGUUGAUGAGGCCCGCUGGAUUCAUCCUUUUCGAGGUUCUGAACAAGGGCAAGCUCGACAAGGUCGAGGGGUAUAUGGACCACAAAUGAUGUGAUAUACUUGGUUGUUUCAACAUGAGUACGGCUCAGUAGGAAGGUCAACCGUGGGGAGGCGCAACAUAGCGCGGCCUCAGCCAAUUAGGCUUGUUGCAAGCCUCAGCUAGAUCAAAUAGUGGGCCUUCUAUAUAUAUCUUCCUGUCGACCAGAAGAAACAAUACAUCAAUCCUUUGCCUCCUUCUUUCUUGCUCAGAUCCCAUGAUACAACCUCGGCGGCUGGCCAGCGAAUAACAGUGCACCACCGAUGGUGAAAAUACCUCACAGGAUGAUGUUGGACAUUCUUAUACAAACUUCAGGCCUACUGGUGGCUGAAUCGAAGUAAAAUGUGAUAGUGGCAUGAUGAGACCAUGUCAGAAUUCUUGUUGCUAUGGAAGCAAAAGGAUUCAUGAAACCCACGGUGAAAACAGAGAAAAGAUACUACAAUUACAGUAGCAUGGAGAAACCGAGGACACGAAAUGAGUCUGAAGAAUGCUAUGGCUGAUUCGUUCUAGCUAGGUACAUGCAAGCUUCUCUUACAUAUAUGCAACGUAACAACGUGAAUGACUAGAACUAUUGUGAUGUUGCUCUAUUGUAAUUCACGUUGUAAUUCAAGAGUCUAGAACUAUUGUGAUGUUGCUCUAUUGUAAUUCACGUUGUAAUUCAAGAGUUGUGUAUCAGUGACCGCAUACACAAGACAAUCUUGAAUAUUUUGUUGGGUCUAUGUUUCUA